UUCCCAACGAAGGCAGCCCCGCAAUGGGUCGCUCGUCUUCCUCUCCGCCUUUCUCCCCCACACGCUGUCAGCCACAACCGCCUCCUCCUCUUCCUCUUCUCCGCACUUGUCACCCCCUCUCCCUCAAGAAUAUCCACGGGACACCGCUCAGCCUCUUCUCCGUCUUGGUGCUGAGCAAGAAGAUGGGGCGUAUCUGGGCGUCGGCUCCCGUGCCACUUCCCUGGAACGAGGGAUCUCGCCAGUGUGAUCUCCCUACAUGGCGAGGAGGAGGGGAGGACCGCAACAUCGGUCAGAGAAGGUGGGGAGGAAUGGAUGCCAACAAGGGAGGCGGCUCAGCGUUGCCCACUCCCCACCGGCCUCCUUUGUCUCCCAAACACAUAUGGCUGCAAUCCUUCCUCUGCUCUGGUGUCGUGGGAGCAAGAACAAGGGCAGAAAUGAUUUGUAUCUACAUCCAGUGUUCACACGGCCAGAUCGAUGGAUCUGCCUCAUCCAGAUCUUCCACAAGGGCACGAGGUGGUGCUGAAGUCGGCUAGGAGGGGUAGCGCCGUGAUGAUGCGGAAGCGACCGGGGAUCAUUAUCUAACACUGCAGAAACAGAACAUUUGGUUGUUCUGAUCACUUAAAAUUGCUCCAGUUUUAAAGCACAUUAGGAAUGACCAAUCGAACGAAUAGCAUGGUGGAUGGUGACUUGUUCACUCACUGUCUAACUAGCAAACUCAGUUUGGUGAAUGGUGUGUUGUUUACUGGUGGAUCUGUGAAGCAGGCUCCGUAUUUUGAGACAAUUAAGAAAGUGUUUCGGUAUGUCUUGGACAAGAAUGGUGCAGGAGUUGCAUUUCCAUUGUUCGCACGGUGUCUUGGCUUUAAGCUUGUAAGCAUGACUGUGAGCAAAGCCAACUCAAGUAAGCUGCUGCUGGCCACCUUUCAGAAAAUCGAGGUUAGAUAUAUACACUACUAGGGAAAAGCCUACCAGUAGCGCGGGUCUUAGGUGUAUCUGUAGCACGGGCUCCCGCGCUACUGAUACGACGCUAUAGCUAACUUAUAGUAUUAGCGGGGGUCAACACGCGCUACUGUUAUACAUGGUUAGCAGUAGCGUGCUUUACAGGAAAGCGCUACUGCUAGCUAAUAGCUGCAGCGCUUUGAAGUAAGCCGCACUACUGCUAAGAGUACGCUGCUGCUAACUUUAUUCCCCUCGCUACUGCUAGUUUUAUUAGUUUCUGAUUUUUUUUCUGUAUAUUUUUUUGUAUUUGAACAGGCUUUAUACAAUAAUCUUUAGCACAUCAUACACAUACAAAUGUAAUCAUAGCAUGUACAUACAAAUAGUCUCAUCAAAUCAUGUCAUCAUCAUCCAACACAAAGUG
Molecule: long non-coding RNA, 1357 nt
Organism: Triticum aestivum (bread wheat)
Lineage: Eukaryota; Viridiplantae; Streptophyta; Magnoliopsida; Poales; Poaceae
Exons: 4
Source: RefSeq, a predicted model, not a curated record